Molecule: ribosomal RNA, 852 nt
Filed under: Klebsiella pneumoniae
Lineage: Bacteria; Pseudomonadati; Pseudomonadota; Gammaproteobacteria; Enterobacterales; Enterobacteriaceae
Description: bacterial SSU rRNA
Rfam family: Bacterial small subunit ribosomal RNA
Source: RNAcentral
UAGAGAUCUGGAGGAAUACCGGUGGCGAAGGCGGCCCCCUGGACAAAGACUGACGCUCAGGUGCGAAAGCGUGGGGAGCAAACAGGAUUAGAUACCCUGGUAGUCCACGCCGUAAACGAUGUCGAUUUGGAGGUUGUGCCCUUGAGGCGUGGCUUCCGGAGCUAACGCGUUAAAUCGACCGCCUGGGGAGUACGGCCGCAAGGUUAAAACUCAAAUGAAUUGACGGGGGCCCGCACAAGCGGUGGAGCAUGUGGUUUAAUUCGAUGCAACGCGAAGAACCUUACCUGGUCUUGACAUCCACAGAACUUAGCAGAGAUGCUUUGGUGCCUUCGGGAACUGUGAGACAGGUGCUGCAUGGCUGUCGUCAGCUCGUGUUGUGAAAUGUUGGGUUAAGUCCCGCAACGAGCGCAACCCUUAUCCUUUGUUGCCAGCGGUCCGGCCGGGAACUCAAAGGAGACUGCCAGUGAUAAACUGGAGGAAGGUGGGGAUGACGUCAAGUCAUCAUGGCCCUUACGACCAGGGCUACACACGUGCUACAAUGGCAUAUACAAAGAGAAGCGACCUCGCGAGAGCAAGCGGACCUCAUAAAGUAUGUCGUAGUCCGGAUUGGAGUCUGCAACUCGACUCCAUGAAGUCGGAAUCGCUAGUAAUCGUAGAUCAGAAUGCUACGGUGAAUACGUUCCCGGGCCUUGUACACACCGCCCGUCACACCAUGGGAGUGGGUUGCAAAAGAAGUAGGUAGCUUAACCUUCGGGAGGGCGCUUACCACUUUGUGAUUCAUGACUGGGGUGAAGUCGUAACAAGGUAACCGUAGGGGAACCUGCGGUUGGAUCACCUCCUUACCUUAAAGAA